This 296-nucleotide ribosomal RNA is filed under the name uncultured bacterium. RNAcentral describes it as "partial 16S ribosomal RNA". It matches the Rfam family "Bacterial small subunit ribosomal RNA", at positions 1057 to 1352 of the family's 1533-position model. The record is from RNAcentral.
AGCUCGUGCCGUGAGGUGUUGGGUUAAGUCCCGCAACGAGCGCAACCCCUGCUACUAGUUGCCACCAGGUAAUGCUGAGCACUCUAGUAGGACUGCCUACGCAAGUAGUGAGGAAGGUGGGGAUGACGUCAAGUCCGCAUGGCCCUUACGCCUAGGGCUACACACGUGCUACAAUGGUCGCUACAAAGGGUUGCAAUACCGCGAGGUUGAGCUAAUCCCUAAAAAGCGGUCUCAGUUCGGAUUGCAGUCUGCAACUCGACUGCAUGAAGCUGGAAUUGCUAGUAAUCGCGCAUCAG